This 253-nucleotide ribosomal RNA is filed under the name uncultured bacterium. RNAcentral's name for it is "partial 16S ribosomal RNA". It matches the Rfam family "Bacterial small subunit ribosomal RNA", at positions 524 to 776 of the family's 1533-position model. The record is from RNAcentral.
UACGUAGGGGGCAAGCGUUGUCCGGAUUUACUGGGUGUAAAGGGCGCGCAGGUGGGCUUGAUAGUUAGAGGUGAAAUCCUGUGGCUUAACUGCAGAACUGCCUUUAAUACUUCAAGUCUUGAGUGCGGAAGAGAGAGACGGAAUUCCAGGUGUAGUAGUGAAAUACGUAGAUAUCUGGAAGAACACCAGUUGCGAAGGCGGUCUCUUGGUCCGUAACUGACAAUUAGGCGCGAAAGCGUGGGGAGCAAACAGG